AACAGGAUUAGAUACCCUGGUAGUCCACGCCGUAAACGAUGUCGACUUGGAGGUUGUGCCCUUGAGGCGUGGCUUCCGGAGCUAACGCGUUAAGUCGACCGCCUGGGGAGUACGGCCGCAAGGUUAAAACUCAAAUGAAUUGACGGGGGCCCGCACAAGCGGUGGAGCAUGUGGUUUAAUUCGAUGCAACGCGAAGAACCUUACCUACUCUUGACAUCCAGAGAACUUAGCAGAGAUGCUUUGGUGCCUUCGGGAACUCUGAGACAGGUGCUGCAUGGCUGUCGUCAGCUCGUGUUGUGAAAUGUUGGGUUAAGUCCCGCAACGAGCGCAACCCUUAUCCUUUGUUGCCAGCGGUUCGGCCGGGAACUCAAAGGAGACUGCCAGUGAUAAACUGGAGGAAGGUGGGGAUGACGUCAAGUCCUCAUGGCCCUUAUGCGUAGGGCUACACACGUCAUACAAUGGUCGGAACAGAGGGUCGCCAACCCGCGAGGGGGAGCCAAUCCCAGAAAACCGAUCGUAGUCCGGAUCGCACUCUGCAACUCGAGUGCGUGAAGCUGGAAUCGCUAGUAAUCGCGGAUCAGCAUGCCGCGGUGAAUACGUUCCCGGGUCUUGUACACACCGCCCGUCACACCAUGGGAGUGGGUUUUACCAGAAGUGGCUAGUCUAACCGCAAGGAGGACGGUCACCACGGUAGGAUUCAUGACUGGGGUGAAGUCGUAACAAGGUAA
Molecule: ribosomal RNA, 728 nt
Filed under: uncultured bacterium
Lineage: Bacteria
Description: bacterial SSU rRNA
Rfam family: Bacterial small subunit ribosomal RNA
Source: RNAcentral